Amphilophus citrinellus (Midas cichlid) is the source of this 57-nucleotide microRNA precursor. Lineage: Eukaryota; Metazoa; Chordata; Actinopteri; Cichliformes; Cichlidae. The record is from Ensembl.
UGUAACAGCAUCUCCAUAUGGAAAAACUGUGGCUUCCAGUGGAGCUGCUGUUAUCUG